Ceratotherium simum simum (southern white rhinoceros) is the source of this 930-nucleotide non-coding RNA. NCBI's taxonomy places the organism in Eukaryota, Metazoa, Chordata, Mammalia, Perissodactyla, Rhinocerotidae. The record is from RefSeq and is a predicted model, not a curated record.
GGGAUAACACAGGGCUCUUCAGAUGUGAGCAGAGCUGCUCCCUUGAAUGAGGGCCCGGAGUGCUGCCUCUUCACCUCUUCCAGCACCAUUGCUGUCACUCCUUGAGAACUUCACAGGAACUCAGGCACCACCAAUAGCCUUCAGUGACUGUCUAAAGCAGGAACAGGGAUGGAGGAGAGAGCAGACAACCAUGGACUUGGUGGCCCAGUAGCCCUAAGCAAGAGGUUCAGAGCCAGCCUGAUUUCCCUUGUGGAUGUAUUUAUGUCCAGUGUAAGCUCCUUCCUGGGUCUAUUCCAAGUUUGGAGGCAGCAGAGCACAGUGGAGAGAGCAAUGGACUUAGAGUCUCAACUCUUGGGUUAGAGUCCUGGAUCUGACCUUGAUUGCCUGUGCUAUCUUGGGUAAGUUACCUUACUUCUGUGUGCCUCAGUUUGUCUAUGAGUAAAACAUGAAGUUUGGAUAGAUGGUGUCUGAUAGCUAUCUUGUGCUUUAUGGCUCAUGAGCACAUACACGUAAGCCCAUAGUAUUAUCUCUCUCAGCCGCUCUGGCAGGUAGAUAUGAUUGCCCCAGGUUUCAGGUAAGGAGACUGAAAGAGGUUAAAUUGCUUUCUUGGGAUCCCAAGGCCAGCAGCAGCAGAGCAGGACUGGAAGCCUGGCUCCUAAUUCCAGAUCUUAUCCUCUUCCAAGUUCACCACAUUCUUCUCCAAGUGGCCUCUAAGACCCCCUUCUUACUGGAAAACCCCUAGACCUUGAAUAGGAGGCUCUCCCUUGUCUGUACAAUGGGGACUGGACAAGAUGACCCAGGAUGUCCUUCCAGGCCUGAUUUUGUGGGACUGAAGCCCAGUCCCCCUCACCCCCGACCCAGCUCCUUAGAGAGAGGCCCUGGGGCCUGGUUGUGCCUGAUCGACCUGCUGAGCCAAUCCCAGGAAGUAGC